CUUCCACACCAUAUUAUUAUCAUUAAUUACCCACCUUUCUUCAGACACAACUGCUGGUGAUGCUAAAAAUUUCCUUUUGUGCUCUCCAAUUUUUUUCAAAAUGGCAGACUACAAGAAUAUGAAAUUCAUUUCAUAUUAGGCAAAUAAACUUUUGGGAACAGAAUGAGGAAGAAAUAGUCUCUGAUAACUUUUCCCAUCAAGAUUUAUAUAUUUUACAUGUAUCAUCAGCAAAAUUGUCUACUUCUUUGUCUUUUUUUGCUCCCUGAGCUGUCUUGACUUUCCACUGUCUAGUGAAUGCAAAUCUAGUUUUAUCCACCAUGGUCAUGGAAUAGGGAUAUUUUCCUAAACAAAUAAUCUAGGUAAAAGAGAAAUUACCAUAUAGAUCAUAAUAUUUUAAUAACUUUUUAUUGACAGCACAUAUGCAUGGGUAAUUUUUUACAACAUUAUCCCUUGCAUUCACUUCUAUUCUGACUUUUCCCUUCUCUCCCUCCAUCCCCUCCCCUAGAUGGCAGGCAGUCUAAUACAUGUUAAAUAUGUUACAGUAUAUCCUAGAUACAAUAUAUAUGUGCAGAACCAAACAGUUCUCUUGUUGCACAGGAAGAAUUGAAUUUAGAAGGUAAAAAUAACCUGAGAAUAAAAACAAAAAUGUGAAUAGUUCACACUCAUUUCCCAGUGUUCCUUCUCUGGGUGUAGCUGAUUCUGUCCAUCAUUAGAUCAUAAUAUUUUAAAAGUAAUUUUACUUUUUUUAUUCUGAUCACUCCCCCAAAAAAGGCAUUUCCAAAUGCUCAGUAGAACAUAAAAAGUAGACUAUAUAUCAAACUAUGAAAUCAUUUCAAACUGCUUGCUUUUGGGGAGGAAAAACUAUAAUUAAAAACUACCUAAUGUAAUAUAAAUUCUACAUAUUACUUUCAAAGUUGUUCUGUCUGUGCUUCCUUCUUGAAUUGCCUUCUUUUUUCUUCUAUAUGUUUUUAACAUAUUACAAUGGCUGCCUAGGGGAUAUCUAUGUUGCUAACCUCUUCUUCUAUUCUAUAAUCCCGCCUUCUAUUCACAGAUGAGACAAAAAAGGAAAAAAAAAACCUUCAUGUUACAUAUAAGGUCUGGAUCUCUAUCUACUGCACCACCUGCCUGCUCCUCACCAUUUCCUAGCAAGCUUAUAUUUCUGAGUCAAAGGGUAUGGACAUUUUAGUCAUUUUAUUUGCAUAAUUCCAGGUUGCUUUCUAGAAUGGUUUUGUUGAAUCACAAAUUCCACCAGCACUGCCCUAAUAUCCUGUUUUCCCACAGCCCUUCCAACAUUAACAAUUCCCAUCUCUUGUUAUCUUUGCCACUUUGCAGUAUGGGGCUAAAUCUUGGGGUUGUUUUGAUUUAAUUCCUCUUAUCAUUAGUGAUUUAGAAAGUUUGAUUUAUUUCCACAUUAAGCUUUAUGUAUGUGUAAGUAUGUGUGUGUGUUCAACCCUCCCCAUCCAUUUUAAACAAGAGUACGUUCAUCUGAUGCCUUUCCUUCCACCCGAUUUCUCUUUGUUUCUGUAUAUUACCCAAUUGAUGGCAUUCACUCAUUUCCUAAUUCAAAUAAAUCUGAAUUAAACUGUAACUUGAUUGUUAAAACUUGGCAGAGAACUGGAAAUUAAGUGGAUGUCCAUCAAUUAGAGAAUGACUAAAUUAAGUUAUGGUAUAUGAAAAUAAUAGAAUAUUAUUAUUUUAUAAGAAAUGAUGAGGAGGCUGAUUUUAGAAAAGCCUCGAAGAAUUUACACAGACUGAUGCUGAGUGAAGAAGACCUAGGAGAACAUUGUCCACAGCAAUGGCAAGAUUGUGUGGUGAUCAAGUAUGAUAGAAUUUCAGAGAUUCAAGGCAAUUCCAAUAAAUUUUAGGUGGAAAAUCCAUCUUUAUCCAGAGAGAGAAUUAUGGAGAUCUAAGAAGAUUAUUUUCGUCUUUUUUUUUUUCUUCUGUUUUUUUGUUUCCUCAUGAUUUUUCCCCUUUGUUCUGAUUUUUCUCUCCCAACAUGACUCAUAUGGAAAUAUGUAAAAAACAAAUAAAUAAAAACCACCAUAUGUAAUCUAAAUAAAAUGAAAUAAUUUUUUUUAAA
This is a long non-coding RNA of Antechinus flavipes (yellow-footed antechinus), 2080 nucleotides long. RefSeq lists it as uncharacterized. The transcript has 2 exons. NCBI's taxonomy places the organism in Eukaryota, Metazoa, Chordata, Mammalia, Dasyuromorphia, Dasyuridae. The record is from RefSeq and is a predicted model, not a curated record.